Molecule: long non-coding RNA, 379 nt
Filed under: Rattus norvegicus (Norway rat)
Lineage: Eukaryota; Metazoa; Chordata; Mammalia; Rodentia; Muridae
Description: long non-coding RNA NONRATT007523
Source: RNAcentral
CCAAAACCACAGACCCAGAAAGUACCGAAUGAAAAUCACGAGCCUUGGAAGCGGGAAGACUGUGGCGUUAAGAGUUCAGCCCUCCCUGCGCAGUCCCUUCACCAAGUCAAAGAGCAUCAUGGAGCAAGUCGGAAGCUUUUGGUCACUGUGUCGGAAACCUGAGAGGAAACAAAGGGGAGGAAGAUGCAUCUAGGCUCAUGGUUUCAGAGGCUUCCAUCAGAGUUGGCUCCUCUGAUCUGAGCGAGCGUGGUGGAGUUGACCUUACGGAAAGGCAUGGGAACAAGACGUGUCUUUCCAACACCAGCUCUUAGUGAAUUAGUUACUCCAACUGCCUUCCCCUCCUUUGUACCAUCUCCCAAUGUUAUGAUUCGCUCAUAUC